This 253-nucleotide ribosomal RNA is filed under the name uncultured bacterium. RNAcentral describes it as "partial 16S ribosomal RNA". It matches the Rfam family "Bacterial small subunit ribosomal RNA", at positions 524 to 776 of the family's 1533-position model. The record is from RNAcentral.
UACGGGGGGUGCAAGCGUUGUUCGGAAUUAUUGGGCGUAAAGCGCGUGUAGGCGGUCUGAUUAGUCUGAUGUGAAAGCCCUGGGCUCAACCCAGGAAGUGCAUUGGAUACUGUCAGACUUGAAUACGGGAGAGGGUAGUGGAAUUCCUAGUGUAGCGGUGAAAUGCGCAGAUAUCAGGAGGAACACCGAUUGCGAAGGCAGCUCGCUGGGACGUUACUGACGCUGAGACGCGAAAGCGUGGGGAGCAAACAGG